RNAcentral lists this ribosomal RNA (254 nucleotides) under uncultured bacterium. RNAcentral describes it as "partial 16S ribosomal RNA". It matches the Rfam family "Bacterial small subunit ribosomal RNA", at positions 524 to 776 of the family's 1533-position model. The record is from RNAcentral.
UACAGAGGUCUCGAGCGUUGUUCGGAUUCAUUGGGCGUAAAGGGCGCGUAGGCGGCGGGGUAAGUCUGGUGUGAAAUCUCGGAGCUCAACUCCGAAAUUGCACUGGAUACUGCUCUGCUAGAGGGCUGGAGAGGAGAUCGGAAUUCACGGUGUAGCAGUGAAAUGCGUAGAUAUCAAGAGGAACACCUGAGGUGAAGACGGGUUGCUGGGCCGACACUGACGCUGAUAGCGCGAAAGCCAGGGGAGCAAACGGG